This 2045-nucleotide long non-coding RNA is filed under the name Zea mays. RNAcentral describes it as "long non-coding RNA (ZMAY_LNC004244)". Lineage: Eukaryota; Viridiplantae; Streptophyta; Magnoliopsida; Poales; Poaceae. The record is from RNAcentral.
UUUUCCUCUCUUCCACUCUUGCAGCCGCCCCAAUUCCUCUCCUCUUGGCUGCAGCCGCCCACUCUCCAUCAAACCCUAGCCACCCCCUUUCCCAAUCCCCCUCCCAAGGUGCAGCCCCUCUCCUUUGGGAUCUCCAUCGAGUGGUGCAAGCCUCUAAUUGGAGAAUUGGUGGAGUAAGAACAGAGAGGUGAAGGAAUAACUCAAGGUGAUCUUAUGUUUAUUUUGUAUUUUUGCUGCGAUUACGUUUGAUUAACCGUUCCCCUAAGCGAAUUGGUGGUAGUGCUGUCCUGAUUUUGGGUGGCAGGCGGAUAGAAGUAUUGUGGGCAGUUUCUGGGGUUUUUGCAGCGGUAAUUAGAUGUAAUCACUAUGAUAAUCAUAUAGAGCUUUGUCAUACCUUUCCAACGAGUACUUAUGCGCUCGAUUCGGAGUUAUAAUUUAGGAGAUAUCGUUGUUUGAAUCUGGGUAUGUUGCUGUCCAAAAAACAGAUUUCCGCAGGUGGGCGAACAGCAUUAGUAUUAGCAGAUUCUGGGGAUUUUUCGUGGGAAAUUAGUGAUAAUAAAUAUGAUAAUCAUGUAGAGCUUUGUCAUACCUUUCCAACGAGUACUUAUGCGUUCGAUUCGGAGAUAUAAUUUAGGAGAUAUCGCUGUUUGAAUCCGGGUAUGUUGCUGUCCAAAAAACAGAUUUCCGCAGGUGGACGAACAACAUUAGUAUUAGCAGAUUCUGGGUAUUUUUCGUGGGAAAUUAGUGAUAAUCAUUAUGAUAAUCAUGUAGAUCUUUGUCAUACCUUUCCAACGAGUACUUAUGCGCUUGAUUCGGAGUUAUAAUUUAGGAGGUAUCGCUGUUUGAAUCUGGGUACGUUGUUGUCCAAAAACAGAUUGCAGGAUGUAUCUUGUGAACGGUUUUGGGCUAAGUAGAUGUGGAAAUUUAAUUAUCUUUGGAAUACAAAACUUGUGGGGAAUUUUAUGUAGAUGCUUCCGGAGUUUUUGAUUCAUAUCACUGCUGUUAUAAUUUUAAAGUUAUGAAAUUAUCAAGCAGCGCCGCUGCAAUUUGGUGGUGAUGGGGAGAGUUGUCGCUCGCGACGGGUUGGAAUUGUGCGUAGGUGCGGCGUUGUUUAUUAGCGUUUGUUAUGUGAAUUUGUGCACUAAGGUGUGUGUCAAAAACAGGUGGUGGACUUCCGGAUCAUACUUAGUACCAUUCCAAAAUUCCGGUGAAGGCAAGUAAAUACAGUGGUGGUUGCUACCGUUUGGUUUGCAUCCUAUUCCCUGUCAUUGAGUAUGCAUAAGUUUUAAAUAUAUUAAUCAUUGAAUUCUAUGAUGAAGUUUAUUGGUUUGAAAGUAUUAAUUCUCAAUUGUCUAAUAUUGUGGAUGAUCAUAAUUUGGUAAUGAUAUAUAUGGUUGAUUCCCAUCUUGGAUGAAGUUGAAGUGUCUUUUUUUGAAUCACGUUAUAUGAAGUGUUGUAGGCAUAUCAUGCACACAUCGCAUCAUCCAUAUUGCAUUUUGAAGUUAUGUCGUGAUCUUAUGGUCCGACCGUACCGAUACAUUUUUAGCAUCGUACGUUGCCCGAGGAGGGGUACGAUGCGGCUUCAUAUCCUUAGAGGUAUGAAGGCAGAAGUCAUCCUUGCAUUUGCAGGCAUUUGCACUCAUGAGGAAUAUAUAAAGUGUGGCAUUACUAUGUUACUAUUGUGGUUUCUACCCGUGAGGUGUGGUAACUAGGUGUGUUGUAUGUUGUAUACGUGUUGCACCUUCGUAAUAAGAAGGUUGUGGAAUCAAGUGGUGGUAAAACAAUGUUCUUAUGUGGUUAAACAGUUUGAUAUUAUUUUACUUGCUGAGAUGUGUCAUCUCACUCUUGCAUUACUCAAUGCAGGUACUUGAUACAUGUUGGGAAUGAGGGGAGUAGCAGCACGUCCACUUUCACUCUCACAAUAACGCUACCCAGGCGCAGCCAUGAUUUAAUUAGAAACUUAUUGUCAAAGGAAGUUUGUUUUUUUAUAUAGUCGUGCGCACUGGUUAAUUCAUUUCAGGUCGUAUGUUUAUCUUUCCUUGCUA